UGAGGAAUAUUGCACAAUGGGCGCAAGCCUGAUGCAGCGACGCCGCGUGGGUGAUGAAGGCUUUCGGGUCGUAAAACCCUUUUCUGUGUGACGAGCAAGGACGGUAGCACAGGAAUAAGCCUCGGCUAACUACGUGCCAGCAGCCGCGGUAAAACGUAGGAGGCGAGCGUUAUCCGGAGUUACUGGGCGUAAAGCGCGUGUAGGUGGUUGGAUACGUCUGCUGUGAAAUGUCCCGGCUUAACCGGGAGGGUGCGGCAGAUACGGUCUGACUUGAGGGUGACAGAGGAGCGUAGAAUUCCGGGUGUAGUGGUGAAAUGCGUAGAGAUCCGGAGGAAUACCAGUGGCGCAAGCGGCGCUCUGGGUCACAACUGACACUGAGACGCGAAGGCAUGGGGAGCGAACGGGAUUAGAUACCCCCGUAGUCCCUGAGCGGGCUGGCAAGGCGCAU
This 448-nucleotide ribosomal RNA is filed under the name uncultured bacterium. Its description in RNAcentral is "bacterial SSU rRNA". It matches the Rfam family "Bacterial small subunit ribosomal RNA", at positions 355 to 825 of the family's 1533-position model. The record is from RNAcentral.